Molecule: ribosomal RNA, 253 nt
Filed under: uncultured bacterium
Lineage: Bacteria
Description: partial 16S ribosomal RNA
Rfam family: Bacterial small subunit ribosomal RNA
Source: RNAcentral
UACGUAGGGUGCGAGCGUUAAUCGGAAUUACUGGGCGUAAAGCGUGCGCAGGCGGUUCGUUGUGUCGGCGGUGAAAGCCCCGGGCUUAACCUGGGAAUGGCCGUUGAAACUGGCGAACUGGAGUGUGGCAGAGGGGGGUGGAAUUCCGCGUGUAGCAGUGAAAUGCGUAGAGAUGUGGAGGAACACCAAUGGCGAAGGCAGCCUUCUGGGCCAACACUGACGCUCAUGCACGAAAGCGUGGGGAGCAAACAGG